Non-coding RNA from Xyrichtys novacula (pearly razorfish), 10646 nucleotides. Lineage: Eukaryota; Metazoa; Chordata; Actinopteri; Labriformes; Labridae. The record is from the annotation of a GenBank genome assembly.
AGCCAGGGAAAAGGAGAGCUGAAGUGUGCAAAUCCUAUAAGGUGUCAAAGGUACAUGGUUCCAAUGGGAAACCCUGGCUGAGAUUCUGAUAUUGUAACUGAUAUAUAACUAAUAUUCUAGAGGUAGAAGAAGAAUAAGAAGAAGAAGAACUUUAUUGAUCCCCAAAGGGAAAUUCAAUUGUCUGUUGUCUCAUGUAAUAUGUCUAUAAAAGUUAUCUAUUAUUUACAUCAGAGUUAUAUAGCCUGAUGGCUGUUGGUACAAAAGAUCUUCUAAAUCUUUCUGUCCUGCAGCGAAAAGAGAGGAGCCGUCGUCCACCACCAUUUGCCCUUUUGUCCAUCAAGGUGUUGUGUAGUGGGUGAUCCAUGUUCUUUAGAAUAGUCUCCACCUUCCUCAGUAUAGAUCUCUCCACCACAUCCUCCACUGAGUCCAGCUUGAGUCCUACCACAGAGCCAGCCUUUUUCACCAGUUUGUUAGGACGCCUUGCAUCUUUGUGUUUGAUGCUUCCUCCCCAGCAGACUCCAGCAUAGAACAGAACACUUGCCACCACAGACUGAUAAAACAUCUGCAGCGUCUUACUACAGAUGUCUAUUGAUCGGAGUCUUCUCAGGCAAAAGAGGCUUUCUGUAGAUGUAGUCUAUAUUCAAUUUAUAUGGGUAUCCAUUAACAUCUUUGAAAAUCAUGAAGUAAGUAAUCAAAAGGAAGUGACUGAUGAUUCACUGGAAGGUAAGAUGGUUCAAUACACGGCACAGCCGCUCAGGGUUUGAAACCUAGCUUAAAUGUUGACGUCUGUCAGCUUGUAUAAAAACACACGUCCUCUCUGACAGUAGGUGACAGCUGAGCAGGCGAUACAGCUGUGGCCUGUUGCUCGAGAGAUGAGACAGAAGAGAGAGCAGGGAGGUGCUGAAGAGAGAGAGAGAAAGGGUACAUUUUAUUUUAUCAUUUCAUUUAUUUAUUUAUCUUUCCCCCUUCAUUCUUCGUGGCAGGGGUCAUGAAGGGGCCCUCUUGAAUCACUUUGACCCAGACACAGGCAAACCUGUCAGCUGGCUUGUCUACACCAUCCACUUCUCCACAUAACCAUUAGGUCAUGACUCAAAAACAGUACAUUUUACACCGUCUGGUAGAUCUUGAAUAGGAGCUGCAGUAAAUAAAUGUUAUUCAAAAUGAGUGAAAUAUAGUUAAGUGUUGUAUCUAUUUUUUGCUAUUAAAAUGGAUAGAGGGUGAUCAGGCUGGGAGAUUGAAAAAAAAAAAAAAGCAGACUCGUCAGUAUCAUGAUGUGCUUGUCUCCUUCUGAGAUCUGUGUGGUGUAAUUUGUUGUUUCUGUGAUGGUUAAAUUGCAAAGCACUCAAAAUAUGAACCAACUGUUUCACAGAAGUAGUUAAGAGUCUAGACUCUAAAAACUGCCAAUCUCAAAAUGAUACGUCUGAGCAUGUCUGACGUAAAACAUGGGAGGCAUUCACAGAGGUCGAAAAGAGGAUGAGACAGUGAAACAAAGGACUCAACGGGGCAACUUUAGAGAACAUCAUCUUUAACUUUCAUUUGAGCAUCUACUUUAUUCAUUUCAACAACCAUUACUUCAUUCUCUUUUCUUCUUACCUCCAUCUUAUCCUUCGACUCUACCCAACAAGGCACACAUAGCUCUGAUGUGAGAGUUAGUUCCCAAAUGAAAACAUGCCAUCCACUCAUAGUUGUGGUUUCUCUGAAGCUGACAGCCACCUCAUUCACUGACUCUGCUCUUUUAAAAGGCUAAAUGGAAAAGAUUCCCCCGAUAACUGUACACAAUUCAUCAUCAUCACCUUCAUUCAACAGCCGUAUAUUAACUGAAAGUGCUUCCAGAGCUUGGAGCCAGAGGUAAGAAAGUAAGAAAGCAUUUAAGACCUCGUUCCCAGCAGUUUAAAAAUACAGGAGGAAAAUGCUAAAACAUUAACACACAAUUGAUGAGGCACUUUGCAUUGAUUACAGAUUUAAUUGAAGGCUUUUAUAUGAUGUACUGUACUAUAUGUAACUUUAUCUGGCUCCAUUCUCUUUACUCACUCUCAUUUUUGCAUAUUUGAAAACUGACAUAUAUUUUAAUAUCGCCUACUCAACGUGAGAGAUAGCUCUGUGUGAGGCAAAACUACAAACUGGUUUUAUGACUUCAUUUGAUGGGUAUCUCACUGGAGUGCACCUUGGCAGUAGUUUCGCUGGAGUUAUGCAGCUCCCAUCUGCUAUAUAAGGCGUAAUGCCCGGCAUGCUGUCCAUUAUCAGGAAUUAAUGGACUGCACAGAGGUCAUUCCUCCUUGAUAAUGGACACACUGUAGGACAUUAUCCCACUUAAACUAUGGUACCAUGCCAAAGACAUUUGUUUUCUGUUACAUUCUUUUGGCGUUUGAAUUACUGUUCCUUGGUGUUACCCUCUUCUUGUUUUCUUCAACGUGUUCAUCAAAGAAUUACCUAGAAUACAAAUCAAACCAUACACAGACUAAUUAAUCUUUUUCUUUUCACCUUAAGCACAAAACAAGCUGAGGCCAUGAAUGCAUCACGUCACUAUGGUUACUCAUUUUAAAUACUGGCUGAUACAGUGUAACCAGAAUGUCAGUUUAUUAGAUUGAAUGUGUAAAAAGGUUUCCCAAGAACUGGAAGUUGGUCAUCCUUAAGAAUUAAUGGACACUGCAUAGCCAGUCAGGUAAUGUAAAGCUGUAUUUCUAGUAAAUCAGCAUUAAAACUAGGAUUGUUAUGUAGCAGGUUAUCAACACAGUAGUCACACACUAGUUUAGAUUGAUAUUGAUCACAAUUAUCAGAUUUAGAUUCUAAAUGUAAAAUCUAUGAGCAUGUGUCAAGAUGUUUGGAUCUAGAUUUUGUACUGCAAGUCUUAUUUCCUCAUUAGUGUUAAUUUGAGAACAGGAAAGCAGGCUGUGUAAGGACUUUAUAAUCGCAAUCACUUUGCUGCCAGAGCAUAUAGAGAGGAAGACGAGUUCAGUAGCAUCACUCCAAAUCAGCUUUCCCCCUUUUUAACAUCAUAACCAUGUAUGAAAGAAAACCGUGGUUUACUGUAAAGUCAAUAUACCUUAUGAUGUGGGUCUCCAAGGAAAUGGUCAGGAACAGUGGGGCUGUCCCAUGGCCAACUCUAGCAAUAGCUAAUGUCCUUGCACAGUCCAUCAGUACCUCACAACUUUAAAUGCUGACAUUACAGGUACCAGGGUAGCGUUAACAAGAGGUACAAGAGAGCUUCAUAGCUGCACAAAAACUGCACUGUGGACUUUAUUAGGAAGACAGUAAGUGUUGUUCUGAGACAGCCCCAAAAACUGACUGCAUCCUAGAUACCAGUGCCGCUUAAAGUAUAUUUUAUGCUGUUUGUAUGGUAUUUAUUUUGUAUAGUAUGAGAGUAUCAGCUUCAAAGAUAUCAAGGCAAUUUACUCAUCAUAGCACACGUUUAAUGCCCCUGCAGCGUUUUUACUCGCUGUAUUGUCAAGUUGUCCCUUGUCCUAAAGUUGACCCAACGGUAGUUUUGCUCUUCUAUAAAAUCUAGACUAGAAAACUUAAAGCAGUGAAAAACACAAACAACCACAUUCUUCAUCUGGAAUUACAGCUCUCCCAAAAAUCCAAUCACAACAUACAUCUGUCAUUGCUCAUAUGAUUUACACAUAUUUGGGUCACCACAAAAUAGAGAUCACAGAGAUCCACCCUGGAGCUAUUUCAGAUAUAGUUCAUCUCACAAUCGCUGACAGCUUCAAUAUUUCAAACGUUAACAGCCAUCUCUAUCACCAACACACACAUAAAAUCACUCAUACUAUUCUAAGACCUUCUUUUCUCUGUCAGGCAUCAUUCAAGUAUAAGAGGUUAUUAGUCAGCACCGCAUAGAAUAAGAAUAUAUAUAAAUGACAGAAGAGAGGUCAAAUGGAGUUAAGACCGUUCUGAUAUUAAACUAAAUGUUUGGGUGGUAAAAGUAGACAGAUAAAGAGAAUGGAGACGUAUGGAGGGCAAAAUAAACAGACCUUUGGGGACACUGACUGCAUUUGUGUGAACAUGUAGGUGUGUAUGUGUGUCUGGCAGCAAAAAAAUAAAAAUAAAAACAAACAGUACAAGUGUGUUUGCCUUCAAGUCAAAAGAAGAUGAGUUUAUAGAUUUUUCCAGACUGUGCCAUCUGUCUCAGAAGAAAUAUAUACAGGAGUACAUGUGCAAGCAUGCAUGCCAGCAAACACGCAUACACAGAACAAGAACCAUACAAAGAACAACAUCAUAAAUUGCAGAAAGUUGAAACUCCUCAAAAUAAUGUAUGGUAGAGAUUCAGUAGUCUCAGGAGUUGUUUCUUCAGAGAAACAAACACUUGACUACUUAAGUUUGGAAACUGUGUUAGUUUAUUAUAGGUCACAAUAACUUUGGUAUGCCUCAUUUUGGUGGGUUUUGGUUGAGCUCAAAUGGCUCAGUAUUCUCUGUGUUAGCUGGACAGGUCAGGGAAGUGCAGCGUUCUAAGAUGCAGCUGCAGACUCUGUUUAAUCAGACUUGCAUUACUGCCUCCUCAGUAUCACACAGGACAUUCAUCUGCGUUCACAGGACUGCGUUGUCCUGGAUUUAUUUUAUAUUGUUACAUUUAAGAUUAAAAACUUAAAAACCUUCUAUAAUUCUUUAGUAACCUUGGAGUUAACUGUUACAUUUACAUUUAGAAAAAAAACUAAUCAGUAUUCCCCAUUUUGAGACCUUUUUAUCGCCAAAAACUAGUACAGGUAAUAACGAUUUUUUUUCUGUCAUACAGUUUGAAUCAGCAUUCAGGUGAUAUUUUUGACGCUGUCAUAUAUCAUCAGAGCUUUUGAUUUAGAUAUGUUUUACGUCUCAAAGUGGGGGACCCAGCUGUGGUCUGUGUAGCACUGAAUCAUUGUUAUUUCUCAGGCUGCUUUGACAGCCGAUAGUCUGUAUCUGAGCUCUAGUACUUCUCUCUGAGAUGUUCUGACCUUUAGGUGGCCACUUAAAACUUUUAGACAGGGAACUUAUUGACUGUCAGCAAUGAUUUAUGUUAGUUAGAAGGAAGAGGGAGGAGCUGAAGGAAGCUAAUCAAGAAGAAGUAAACAUUUGCUGUCAAUACUCAGCAGAAAAAGACAUGAACACUUUCAAAAACUAGUCUAACCAGCAACAAAACCCCUGAAAUUAGCCACCAAAAUAGAUGAUUGACUGGCCAAAACAAAAAUAAGUAAAUAAAUCGUCAUUCUUUAUCUUUUCCCUUUUUCCAUCCGUAUUGCAGCAUCACUGACAAUAUUUUGAAUACUGAGUUAACACUAAGCUACAGUAUUUCACUGUAUUUUAUGUACAGUCUCACGUUUUUCUUUUGUCACUGAUUGUGGAUCUUGAAGUUAUUACUCUUUAGGGUCUAAUGAUAACCAAAGUAAAUCAUAAUAGCUCAAUGUCUCUUCAGCAUAGUGAGCUCUCUUCUUCUGGGGUUGGGUGCCAUUUCAGUUUUAUCAAUUCUGGUUCAGAUUCCAGCUCUGCUUAUUGAUUCUGGUUUUUAUCGACCCCUAACUCCAACUCCAAGAACUUUGGAGAGUAGAAAAUACCAAAUAUUUCACAAACAUAUGCCCCUUUAUCUUUAAGUCAAAUCCAACAUAGACAGAGCAUCUCCAGAACUACAAUACAAGCUGAAUUUUGUCAGUUAUUGGGAUUUGAAAUUGCACACUAAAGGUUGUCUAAAAUCAACUUGUAUUGCAAAAAAUGUUUUGCACAUGUGCAAUAAAUCUCUUCAGAGCAUGCAAACAUUUUGAAACACAAGAUGAAGCCCUGAUUGAACAAUGUGCUACUAUUUAAUCAAUCAGAUCAGUAUUGUUGUUUAUGAGGAACCGUACUUAGAAGGGGUAUUUUCUGGUGACUCACUGACCUGAAGACUGGAGGCUUGCAACUCAAUUUACACUUGGGGUUCUGUCACUCAGAAACACUGAGUUAGAUGGAGCCUGGCUUGCCUUGAGCUCAGCUAAUAAAUUGUUGUCAAUUUAGUGUACUGCCAAUGUUAAUUGAAGGAAAACAAAAAUUUAAUUUGCCAUGUUUCACACAGAUACAAGAAGUCGAGCAACAGAAAAUUAUUGGAACUUAAUGCAGAAUAAAGUUAUGUUGAAUUCAAACAUGUAUUGAAUGGUGUAGUUUGACAUGCCUAAAAACCAUAAACCUUAAACUCUGAUCGGGCAGUAUGACUGGAAACAUCUGUGAACAUGAAACUUAUUUUGGUAUGACCACAUUUGGUGAAUGACUUAAAUAGUGUGCUAGUUUACAGUGUGGCUUUAUCAGUUAUCAACACCACAGUGGUGAGCAUGAACUGAAGUAAGUUAGAGAGCAAAGCACAAAUAAAAACAUCAGCAACACUUAUUCACACACUCACAAGCCAGUUUAUCAGCUCCACUGGUUAUACCUGGUAACUGCUGCUUUAAGACCUAAUUUGUCCUGGUACGGAUUCACCAAGGCGUCUGAAACCUUCUAAAUUGUAUAUUUUGAACAAAUGGUGUAUCGUGUCUCCACUCUUAGCUCACAGCUGUAACGUCUCUCCUUCCGUCUGUUGCUUUCUCUUGCUGUUUCUCUCUUGUCUGACUUGCUUGAAAUCUCUCCCAAUCUCUCAGUCUCUUUGUUUCACUUUGACUAUCACUCUUUUUUUCUCUUUCUCCUCUUUCGCUCCCUUUCCCCCCAUUGAGACUGCUCUCCUCCUUCCUGUCCUCUCUGUUCUUCUCUGUGAUUGUUCUACGCUUGUCUGAACCUUCUCUGAAACUCCCUGCAGGAUGAGUGGUGGGCGCAAACACACACACACACACACACUCGCUCUCUCUCUCUCUCUCUCUCACACACUGACACACACACAUACACACACAAACAGUUUGCACUCACAUUUCCUACGUUUCCCACACAGCAACCAAACAUGAACACAGACACCCCUGCCCUCAAAUGCACUCCCAAAAUUAAACACGUUUUCAGGAAGCAGCAAGCAGGCACCGACCUGCACACACACACACACACACACACACACACACACACACACACACACACACACACACACACACACACACACACACACACACACACACACACACACACACACACAGUCGUUGUGGUGACAUUUGAUAUAAAUGGCCCAAUGGAAUUUCCUCUGCUGGUUAAAAAGGAUUGAAAUGCCACUGCAGGCAUGAUCACAAAUCAAUAGCCCAAUCUUUAACCUGCCAUUUUGUUGUGUGUGUGAUUGUGUAAGGGUGUGUGCCUGUUUUUGCAUGGGUGUGUUUUCUUUUUUCCAGGGCCACAACUAGGGAAAAUUUUAUCUGUCUUUGCAAUUCCAUGUUGUUUUUCAUUCAUUUGAUUGUGCUGCCUUAAAUGUCUCUUAUCUGUGUUGGUAUACAGAAUAUACUUUAUUGAUGUUUGGAAAAACUUCAGCAGAAAAAAAAGAUAGACCUUGGAUGUAAUACAUCUGAAGGAUUUCCUGUUUCUAAAACUGUUGUGAUCUGAAGUGAUUUUUGUAUGGACACUGUGCAGCAAUAACUAUUCAUACAAGAACAUAAUCCAUCUCAAGAGCUGACCCCCAAAGUCGAUAAUUCAGAUACAGUAGUGUUGAAUCUCUGCACUUUUGUUUUUCAGCUGCAUUACAAUACAGAAUGAUGCAAGAGAAAUGUCACGGCAUGCUGCUAACUUUGCAACCUAUUUCAGAUGUAGUCUUCAAGUAUUUUUUACUUCAAACUAAUUAAUUUAGCAGAUCAUUAACUGGACAGCUACCGUGUUGACAUUGCAGAGCUUAAUAAGAGUAAUUUAUGUAACGUGCCUCGAUAAAAGGCAAAAAUUACCUGUUCAACAGGCCCAAAUCCUGGCGGAGAUUUCUCCACUGCCUGAAGGAUGACCCGAUGUUUAUUCAAGUUAGAUUCCUUUUUUGGUCACAUUUCCUCUAUGUCUCUGCCAUUUCUUCUGCCGGCUUGCGUUUUUUUUUUAGCACUUUUGGCGUUGGGGCAAGCAGAAGUGUUUUUUGUUUUUGUUUUGCUUGUUUUUGUGGAGGGCUAGCUAAACUGCUGCUUCUGCAAGCGUUACAUGAUGUUAAUGUCAUCUGAUGCAGAACUUUGUUGUAACUAAACUGAACUGAAAAAAAAAAUAUAUGGCACCAAAAUAUGAUUCAACUGGCAAAUUAUCUGGGUCUACAAAACCCAAAUAUUAUUUCAAGUAAAAGUUUAGGUUCCCAGGAGCUCUGCAAGAGCUCUCAAGAGUUGUUUCUUCUGUAGCGCAUUUUAGGGGGUUAUCACCUCCUAGGGUAAAGAAGGGGAGGCUAAAGAUGAGUGAAUUUGAAGAUUUACAACAGAUCAGUAAUGAUAUGGUAUAAAUGCAAAGAGGUGCAUGGAUUAAGGUGUAAAUCUGAUUCAUUUAAGAUAAAUCCAUGCUGCUUUACUGGCUUUAAAAUAGCUUUUUCAACUUAUGAUCCUUUUAGUCUCUACACAGUGGUAUUUGAUCUAGGCUUUUCCUCUGAUCAUUUCUAUACUUUUACAUUCUGCUCAAAUUUCCUGCUGGCUGAGUUCAAUGUGUCACUGAACAACAAUGAACAAUGAACACUCUAAUUUCCCCUGAGAGAGCUCUGUGUGCCCAAAUAAUGGGACAGUCUGUGUUUUGAGGCUUACGUGAAAGCAUGAAUAAUUCUGGCAGUGAAUCAUACUUGACGUCUAUGGUGUUGAAAAAAGUAUGAGAGGUGAUACAUGCGAACAGAAUACGUUUAUUAGUUACGCCACCACUGCAGGGGGCCUUCACCACCAGUUCUGAAACACUUAAUGAAUGUGUCUCUCAUCCAAAUACUCCAUCCACUGUUCUAAAAGCUGAUAUCACCCGAAGGCAGAACCAAAAACGAGUGCCAGCCACAUUUUUUAAACUCUUCUUGCAAUCUUAGCUCAACUGACUUCAGACCAGAUGUCCAGAACAGUGCCUGCUGCUUGUCAAUCAGCAUUUAAAAAUGACUGGCAGGUCCUGUCAGCUAAAGCUAUUAUGAACCAAGUUCAGCUCUGCUCACAAACUUUACACUUCACUUUCACCUACAUGUGACCUUAAAGAGGUCAAAAAAACAGUGUGCCACUCCUGAGGCUGAUCCGUAACUUCUAUAAUUUUCAUCAACUAAACAAGAAUGAGCUGAUUUGAUUUAACCAUUUAGUAAAUCUCAAUAUUGUAAAACUACAUAGGUUUUGACUCCAGGAGGCAGAAUUGUUAUGCACUGGGAUUACUGUAUCUGGAACCUCAAAGAGUAAAUUAGUCUUAAAAGGAUCUUUUUUUGCUAUUUUAACCCCAGGUUACAUCACUGAUGAUGUGUCUAAGCUGUACCUACAGGUGUAUGUAAAAACUAGUUCAUUCUUUCCAAGCCAGUGACGCCCGGGAACAGACCGGUUGAAGACCGCGAAGAGUAUGGUGACAGCUGGAGAGACAGUAACCGGGGCAGGGAGGUUUAGCACCCUAAACUACAGCUCCUGUGAAGGAGAACCCUAAUAAGCUACAGAGAGCCUUGAUGAGUCAAACCCCCAGGGGUGCCUGAGGGGGGGGGGAAUCCAUCCUGAACGGACGGAUACACAGAUAAUGACCCAAGCGAAUGGAAUAACAAGUGCAAACUGUACAUGUGGCAAAUUCUGCAAAAACCAGCAUGGCCUGAAGAUCAACCAGGCCAAAAUGAAAUGCCUAAAGGUGAAGCUUGUGGAGCACAGGUGUAGCACCUGGUAAGACGCAGGAGGAGCCAGGCCUGGAAUCACCCCACAGUGCCCAUACCCUCCACGCCCCCCUGCUUCAACUAAAGUAAGGCGUUCAGAACAUCACCUGGUUAAGUGGCCAUCUGCCAAAAAGGAAAGGGAGUGGCUCCAGUUUGAUGACAACAUGGACCAAAUGCUUGAAGCAACAGCAAAGGUGGGUGUUAACCAGAAGCUGCAGCUGGUGUCUGCCAUGAUCGUCAGCAUGGCAGUGGAGAGGUUUGGCAUAAAGGAGCAGCAAGCACCCAGGGGUGGAGGGGGGCCAAAUCGACAGGAGGAAAAGAUCAGUCAGCUGCGGCAGGAACUCAGACUGCUCAGGCGUCAGUUCAAGCAAGCAAAGGAGGAGGAGGAGAAGGCCGGAAGGCCAGUCUGGCUGAGCACCAUAACAUCCUCCGUCAAGCAGAAUGGCACAGAAGGAGGGGCAGAGAGAGAGCCAGGGGUUACCCAGCUUAUCCGGGAGGCACGGGAAGGCAAACAAAAGAGACCUGGGAGUCCUGUGGCUGGACCAUGCCAAUGUCUACAAGUCAAUCCCACACAAGUUGGUAGAAAUCUCCCUUAACUGACACCAUGUCCAGCUUGACAGUCACCUCGGGAUCAGCAACAUCAGAAUCCUGGCUGAAAAAGGGCAUUAUCACCGGGUGUACCAUCUCAGUGAUUCUGUUUGCCCUAGCCAUGAACAUGCUAGUGAAGUCAGCUGAGGUGGAGUGCAGAGGCCCAUUGACCAAGUCAGCUGUGGGGCAGCCCUCUAUCAGAGCAUUCAUGGAUGACCUGACAGUAACCACAGCAUUGGUUCCUGGGUGCAGAUAAAUCCUUUACGGCCUUGAGCAUGCCAUCAGCUUGGCUCGGAUGGUCUUUAAACCAUGAAAGUCUCGGUCUCUGGUUCUGAAGAUGGAGAAAAUCACAGACAAAUUCCGCUUCUUCAUAGAAGAAGUCCUGAGUCCAUCUAUCAGAGAGAAG